This 6308-nucleotide long non-coding RNA is filed under the name Homo sapiens (human). Its description in RNAcentral is "HSALNT0264853". The record is from RNAcentral. Lineage: Eukaryota; Metazoa; Chordata; Mammalia; Primates; Hominidae.
GGAACCUUCAAUGUUUGCAGUAAACUCGGAGCAAACAGGUAUGGUUGAGUCUGCAAGGCCUGCCCACUUUGAGGACCUCUUGCUCUCCCACUCCCACAAUUUGAUAAACUGUCCAUCGUGUUGCCUCACCCCUUUGCCACUACUGAGCCUGUCCUUGCUCUCCCCAGGACUUUAAAUACUGGAACAGGGUCGGGCCCUCUUUCUGGGAGGCUCCAGGGCUGGUGGCACCAUGUUCCUUGCAUUGUGGAAUUAGCAAUCUGCAGUCACAGAGCAUAAAAGCUGAUGAGCAGAGGACAGAGAUGAGAAACAGAGAGAGUAGUGGCUGGGUUGGAUUGCAGAUUCCAGCUGCCUGAGACCAAGGCUUGCUCCUGUCCUUCCCACACUGACUUAAUAUAUCUCAGAAAUGACUCUUUCUGACAGAUUCUGCCUCUGGACCAGGCAAUCUCCAACUGGAUUUCUGUGAUACCACACCAGGAAUUCCAACUAAACUCUAUCCACCAAACCCAAAUAUUUAUGGAUAAUCUACUAUGUGCAAUACAAUGGGGUCAGCUUUUGUGACUUUGAGAGGGGCUGUGGGAAAGGAUGCCCAAGGAAGAUAUUGAAGGGAUGGGAACCGGCAACUGGGCUGGGAGCUUCUGUUUACCAUCAGAAAAUGAGGAAUGGCAUAGAGAGAGAGAGAGAGAGAGAGAGAGAGAGGAUAAAUCUUAUCCGCAGGCCUCUGCUUAAGGACACGAGAAAGUCUUCCUGCUCCUUCCUCUCUUCCUGGCCAUCCUCACUGACCUGAGGGUGAUUUAGACUCACAAUCAUCUCCUGAACCCUAGGGCAAAAUGUCCUGACUGUGGCAGCCUCACUGGAAGAAGACAGACAGACUACAAAUGUGAAGGUUUGUAGGAUACAUAUCUAUUAGAAUUGUAUAUGUUGUUUUCCUUUACAAAAACAAAGCUCAGAAACUAACAGACACUUAAACAAAGAGGAUAUACAGAUGGCAAAUGAGCACAUGAAAAAAUGCUCAAUAUUUUUAGCUAUUAGACAAAUGCAAAUUAAAGUCAUGAGAAGAUAUCAUUACACACCUAUCAGAAAGGCUAAAACAGAAAUUAGUGACAAACACCAAAUGCUGGUGAGGAUGCAAGAAACUGGAUCACUCAUUCAUGAUUGGUGGUCUUUACAAUGGUACAACCACUCUGGAAAAUAAUUUGGCAAUUUCUUUAAAAAACCAAACGUUCAACUACCAUGUGACUCAGCAAUUGCACUCCUAGGUAUUUAUUCCAGAGAAAUGAAAACUUAUGCUCACCCAAAAACCUGGACAUGAAUGUUCAUAGCAGCUUCGUUUAUAGUAGCCAAAAGCUGAAAUCAGCCCAGAGGGACUUCAUCCAGUGAAUGGUUAAACUGUGGCACAUCCACACCAUGAAAUAAAGGAAAGAACCAUUGAUACAUGCAACUUCAAUGAAUCUCCAGGAAAUCAUGCUAAGAAAAAAGCAACAACAAAAAUUCCCCAAAAGGUUACAUACUGUAUGAUUCCAUUUAUAUAACAUUUUUGAAAUAAUAAAAUUUUAGAAAUGGAUAACAUAUUAGUGGUUACAAGGAGUUAAAGGAAAAGUAAUGUGGGAGGAAAGUGGGUGUGGCUGUAUAAGGGCAACAUGAGGGGUCCCUGUGGAGAUGGAAGUGUUCUGUAUCUGGACUAUGUCAGUGUCAGUAUCCUGUGGUGAUGUUGUACUAUAGUUUGGCAAGAUGUUGCCACUGGGCGAAACUGAGUAAACAGUACAGGGAGUAUCUCUGUAUUAUUUCUUACAAUUGCAUGUGAUUAUGUAAUUAUCUCAAAAUAAAAAUAACAACUGCCCAAAGGCAUUACAGAGUGAACAAAAGCAGGCAGAAACAGGAGGAGGCUCUGCACUUGGAAGAAAGGAAUGGCAUAGAAAGAGGUUGCUAUUUUGUUUUUAUGACUUUUAGCCUGAAAGCGGUUCUCGGCCUGAACUAUGCAGGGUGGUUAAAAUUCCAGUAGAAAACCUGCCGUCGGCUGGGCUCAGUGGCUCAUGUCUGUAAUCCCAGUACUUUGAGAUGCUGAGGGCAGCAGACCACUUGAGGUCAGGAGUUCAAGACCAGCCUGGCCAACAUGGCGAAACCCCGUCUCUACUAAAAAUUUGAAAAUUAGCCGGGUGUGGUGGUGAGCACUUGUAAUCCCAGCUACUUGGGAGGCUGAGGCAGGAGACGGAGUUUGCAGUGAGCCAAGACUGCGCCAUUGCUUUCCAGCCUGAGCAACAAGAACAAAACUCCAUCUCCAAAAAAAAAAAGAAAAGAAAAAAGAAAACCUGCCAUCUUUCUGGCUUGGAGAGUCAAAAGUUAGAGUCUGGGCAAUGACAGCUGCUAGAAAGUGAGAGGUGAGCCCCAGAAAGGUGAGGACCAGUGAGGAGAAGCCCUGAAUUCUGUGUGUUUUCUCUGUCCAAAUCUCUGGCUGAUCCCUCAACUGUGUACGUGUGUGCAAGACUUCCAAUAGCCCAGCCAAGACUAAAAGAACUGAGCUGAGGUUCAACUUGCUGACUGAGAGGGAGGGUUGGCAGCUGGAGUAGAGAGAGCCAAGUUUAUGGCUUUAUAAAACAAGUAAGCAGACAAACAAGUAUCAGUGCUCUUCAGAAAUAUAAUAGAAUCCAGAGUCACUGCAAAAUAGCAUCCACAAUGCCUAGAAUACAAUCCAAAAUUAUUAGACAUAGGAAAACCUAGGAGCUGUCCUUGAUUCUUCUCCAUCUCUUGCUUUCUGCAGUCAAUCCAUUCAUGAGAGCUGUCAGCUCCACCUGAACACACAGUGUCACUUCAUCUUUUUCCUGUCUCCACUAUGACCUUCUCGUCCCAGCCACCACUGUCUGUGACCUGGAUUACCACAUGAGGCUCCUUACCAGUGUCCCCGCUUCCACCCUCACUCAUCCCCCACACAUCAGCCAGGGCCAUCUCUUUAAAGUACAGGCCUCCUUGCCUGGCCCACAGGCCCUGCAGGGUAUCCCACCUGCCUCUCCAGCUUCAUCUCAUUUCACUCAGGCCCUUCCUCACCACUCUCCACUUUCCCCAACUGCUGUCCGCUCCUCCAGCGUCCUUAGCACCUUCGUUCUUGCUGUUCUGUCUGAUCCUCCUGUUCUUAUUAAGGUUUCAGCCCAAAUAUCACCUCCUGAGAUAGACCUUCCUUGAUUCUACCACUCCCCAAGAUUGUCCAACAGUCACUCUCAUGGUCCCUGGUUUUAUUUUUCUAAAGCAUUGAGUCACUGCUUCCAUGUUUGUUUUCAUUAUCUGUCUUCCCCAGUGAGAGUGUUAGCCCCACAUAGGGAGGGACUGUGCUACCUUGCUUAUUGCUUAUCUGCAGGGCCUGGAGUAGCACCUAAUGACAGUAGGUUCUUAUUUCAGCCAUCUAUUAUGCAUAAUGGCCUUUUCAAACGUAGAGGCCUAAAACAACAAGCAUUUUAUUAUGCCUGCAGAUUCAGGCAGGGCCCAGGAGGAAUAGCAUGUUUCUGUUUCAUGAUGUCUGAGACCUCAUGAAAACUGGACUGGCUGGGGGUGACUUGAAGAGCUGGGACUGGAGGGUCUACUUCCAAGAAGUCUACCUCCCUCUCUUGGCUGGGCCCUGGGCUGGAAUGGUUGAGACACUGGGAUCAGUUGGGAAUGUGGACUGGGACCUGUAGGCGGCCCCAGCCUGACAACCUCAGGACAGUCAGAUGGCUUACAAGGUAGCAUAACCUCUCAGGGAACUAGGCUAAAGCUGUGUAGCCCUGGACACAAAGCAGAACAUCCACAAUCCUCUGCUGGCCACAGUAGUUACUAGGGAAUCUAUACCUCAGUUACUUAUGGGAAGACCGUCAAAUAAUUUGUAGCCACUGAAGAAAGUCUGCAAUAGAUCUCAACAAAGAUUUGUUGGAGGAAUGAAUGGAAUGAAUGAAUCUGUAUGAAGAUAUCCCUAGAUAAUUGGUUUCAAGUGUCAGCUACUGAAGUACUGAGGACUAUCCUAAAAGGAUGGACUUAGAUAAAUCCACCUUCCCCCUAUACCAGCCCGAUUAGAGGGUCCCACCUGUCAUCGGCUCUACUUCUUGUUUUUCCCGCACUCAUGAGCAAAACAGCAAAUGACAGGAAUCACUGCAUUACAUUUUCUAACACCUUAGCUUCCUUCUUCAAGCCAAUGACAGCGGCUGCUGGGUCAGGCAUGAGCAGUGCAGCAGGUGGCAGCGGCCUCUCCCAGGCUGGAUGUGGAGGUGUCCUGCCAACCUCGUGACGCAGUCUACAAUGGAGGAUGGCAAGGCUCCGUGACUCUGGCAGGGCCAUGAGAGGACCAAGAGUGCAAGAGGCAAGGACUGGAAGGAGAGCUCUAAGAAAACAGCCAUCAGUGACCAUUCAUCAUGUUCCUAUUCACCUCAUCCUUUACAUGUGCUUUCUUUCUUUCUUUUUUUUUUUUUUUUUUUUUUGAGACAGAGUCUUGCUUUGUCACCCAGGCUGGAAUGCAGUGGCAUGAUUUCGGCUCCCUGCAACCUCCAUCUCCUGAGUUCAAGCGAUUCUCCUGCCUCAGCCUCCUGAGUAGCUGGGAUUACAGGCAUGUGCCACCAUACUCAGCUAAUUUUUGUAUUUUUAGUAGAGACAGGGUUUUGCCAUGUUGGCCAGGCUGGUCUCGAACUCCUGGCCUCAAGUGAUUCACCCGCCUCGGCCUCCCAAAGUGCUGGGAUUAUAGGCGUGAGCCACUGUGCCCAGCCUACAUGUGCAUUUUCAUUGAUCCGCCCUGCAAGGCAGGGUUGUUACCUUCUUGACCCAUUUUACAGAUGAGGAGACAGAGGCUCAGCAAGGUUGAAGUAGCUCACCCGGGAUAAGGUUUCUCAGCUCCCUGGCCCUCCUACAUGAUCCUGGACAUCAACCCGGCUAGAAGGAUGAAUUUCAACAAUGUUUGGAGGGAUGUGGAAAUAGACUGAGAGAUGAAGAUCAUGAAGCCCCGAAGGGCUGCAGCUGCCUCCUAAUGGCCUUUGCUCCCCAAUCCAACACCAGCCCCUCUGCUGAGGACAUGGUAAGCAUUCGAUGACGUAAAUGAUCAGGUGCAUCCAACGCCUCCCUUUCACAGCCCCAUCCCCUCUCCUGUCCCCAUCCUCCUCCAGACCUUUCUACAGAGUCGAGCUCCUCGUGUACGCCUUCUUGCUCUGAAGGACGUUUUGUAACAUUUCAGAAGACACUGAACUCUCCCGGAAGAGAUGAAUCCAAAGGCACUGAUUUUGGAAGUCAGGGGGCUCCUAAGAAAAGUGGCCUUGAUGUGUCAGCAGAUUCUAGGAAGGGGAGCAAAAGACAUGAGAGGUUGUUCAGGGUCCCCUGACUCUGUGGGUCUUAAAUCCACAGAUGUGUGAGCCGAGGGCAUCGACCUCUCUUUAGCAGCUAAAUAGGAAUCUCACUCUUCAUCUGUGAAAAUAUGUUUCGUAAGUACAAGAUGGUGUUUAACUCAGGUGUUAACAGGAGAACGCCUCAGCACCCAUGGAUUUAUGGGAUGAUGAAUUGGGAUUGAGAAUUGGGAUUGAUGAAUUGGGUGAGAAUCCAGAAUUUCUGAGCAAGGAAAAGCCUGAAAGUCUCAUGAGCCGCUCUGCCUUUGCUGAGGGAAAAUUCCAUUCACUAUCCAUGCUGGCCAUCUGUUAAGUUAAACAUCUCUGCCUAUGAAAUCUAAGAAUAAAUGGAAACUACAACAUUGCUAUCAAUGCAUCAGCAGCAUCAAAGACGGGUAAUGCUUAGUAACACCUUGUGUGUGUUUGCUUUUCUCACACACCUGAGCUCACUUUGAUCCUUGCAACAUCUCUGGGGUGUGGACAUAGGCAGUGACUUUUGCCCUCCUGGGGCUCUCCAGCAACGUCGGAGGUCAGAAUAAAAAGGUCUUCACAUUCUUUACGACACCUUUGGCUGCAACAGUGGUGCUCAACUGGGGGCCAUUGGACCCCCUCCCCAGGGAACACUGGUAAUGUCCAGAGACACUUGAGUUGUCACACCUGGGAGAGGGGGAAGGACUAUUGGCUCUAGUGGGCAGAGGCCAGAGACACUGCUAAGCAUCCUGCCAUGCACACAACUGCCCCACAACAAAGAAUUAUCUGGCCCUAGGUGUCAAUACCAUCGAGGUUAAGAAACCCUGGGCUAUAAGUAAUGAAAAAUCCUGCCCCAUGUGGUCUGAAACAAUAAAUACACUUCUAAUCUCAUAUAACAAGAAAUCCUUUGAUGAGGUGGACCCAGGAUCUUAUCAGUCAAUGACUCUGUGUGAACAGCGGUCCAGAAUUUGCUUGGGUCCUAUUCCAAUGUGCAAACUUCCAAAGGUGCCGGGA